RNAcentral lists this ribosomal RNA (567 nucleotides) under Paenibacillus massiliensis. Its description in RNAcentral is "bacterial SSU rRNA". It matches the Rfam family "Bacterial small subunit ribosomal RNA", at positions 939 to 1504 of the family's 1533-position model. The record is from RNAcentral. Lineage: Bacteria; Bacillati; Bacillota; Bacilli; Caryophanales; Paenibacillaceae.
UGGUGGGUUUAAUUCGAAGCAACGCGAAGAACCUUACCAGGUCUUGACAUCUGAAUGACCGGAUCAGAGAUGAUCCUUUCCUUCGGGACAUUCAAGACAGGUGGUGCAUGGUUGUCGUCAGCUCGUGUCGUGAGAUGUUGGGUUAAGUCCCGCAACGAGCGCAACCCUUGACCUUAGUUGCCAGCACUUUGGGUGGGCACUCUAGGGUGACUGCCGGUGACAAACCGGAGGAAGGUGGGGAUGACGUCAAAUCAUCAUGCCCCUUAUGACCUGGGCUACACACGUACUACAAUGGCUGGUACAACGGGAAGCGAAGCCGCGAGGUGGAGCCAAUCCUAAAAAGCCAGUCUCAGUUCGGAUUGCAGGCUGCAACUCGCCUGCAUGAAGUCGGAAUUGCUAGUAAUCGCGGAUCAGCAUGCCGCGGUGAAUACGUUCCCGGGUCUUGUACACACCGCCCGUCACACCACGAGAGUUUACAACACCCGAAGUCGGUGGGGUAACCGCAAGGAGCCAGCCGCCGAAGGUGGGGUAGAUGAUUGGGGUGAAGUCGUAACAAGGGUAGCCGUA